CACGUAGGGCGCGAGCGUUGUCCGGAAUUAUUGGGCGUAAAGAGCUCGUAGGCGGUUUGUCACGUCUGCUGUGAAAACUGGAGGCUCAACCUUCAGCCUGCAGUGGGUACGGGCAGACUAGAGUGCGGUAGGGGAGAUUGGAAUUCCUGGUGUAGCGGUGGAAUGCGCAGAUAUCAGGAGGAACACCAAUGGCGAAGGCAGAUCUCUGGGCCGUAACUGACGCUGAGGAGCGAAAGCAUGGGGAGCGAACAGG
Molecule: ribosomal RNA, 253 nt
Filed under: uncultured bacterium
Lineage: Bacteria
Description: partial 16S ribosomal RNA
Rfam family: Bacterial small subunit ribosomal RNA
Source: RNAcentral